Non-coding RNA from Aegilops tauschii subsp. strangulata, 2486 nucleotides. The record is from RefSeq and is a predicted model, not a curated record. Lineage: Eukaryota; Viridiplantae; Streptophyta; Magnoliopsida; Poales; Poaceae.
GUCGUCCACUACCCCUGAUGGCAAAGAAAAAAAACUAGCCCACUCCCCCGGUCCGUUUCUCUCUCCCUCCGGCUGCUCGCAUCUCGCCAUUGCGGUUCCCCUCAAAAAAUAAAAAAUCUCGUCAAUGCGGAGGCAGCGGCAGCGAGCCAGCGACGGCGCCGGAGGGAUGACCCAACGGCGAGGACUACCUCUUUCGCGUGUGGAGUAUUACCCUUUUUCCUCUCUCGUGCGGCAACGACUCGGAGGCACCGUGGGGGAUGCAAGAUCUGGGCGAAGCUCGGCAGUGACAGCGAUCUUCUCCGGCGUCCCUCUCCACUGUCGGCGUGCAGGGGAAGAGGAAGCAGACCAAGAAAGGAAAGGAAAGAUAAAUGAGGAGCUCGGGUGAUGGAGGUAACGCUCGAGACGGACUCCUGGCGGUGGGAUCAAUUCAAGGAGGAGAUGAAGAGGCCAUGUGGAUGACAUAGAAGAAGAGGAGAAGCUCAAGGCUGCGGAGAAAGGAACAACAGUAGAGUAUCAGACUUCAAUCUAGCUGAGAUCAAUUUUUGGUUGUCACGGGACAUAUGAAUACUCUACUGAUUUUGCUUUUGUUUAAGUUUCACGAAUUUUCAAUUUUUCAUCCUUUAGCAAUAAAUGAUGGUUCUGACUUAAUUGAAGGUUAGUAAUGAUGUGCAUAAAGAGUCAGUCUGUACCUAGCUGACAAUGCUAUCUGUAUAUUUAUGUUAUAAUCGAAAUUUGCACAUACGUACGAGCAAUAUUUCUUCAAUUAAAGAAUAUUCACUUUACGAGGAUUUCUAUUUUUUGCUAUUCUUAAGAUAAGAUUUUAAUCGAUGAUGCCAGCUUUAUGUUUUGUGAAUUUAUUAGGCAAUCGAGGAAUUGGAAUUCUGCCAAGAAAUCUAGGAGCAGAAGAAGAUGUAUGCAAGGGACUUGGAGGCGAGGCAAUGGUGCGCAGGCGAGAAAAUUAUGUUCUGAUUGGUUAGGAUUGGGGUUCGACUGCUCUUGUGUUUGUUAUAUCAAAGUUGGUUGCAUGAGUCACUUCACGAUGGUCAUGUGCACCAGGAAAUUAGCUUGAUUUGAAUAUAGUACAAUCAGGCAUAGCUGCUGGCGUAGGUAGCUGCACUAUGCAGUUACCUAAUUGGAACUCACAACUAGUUUCUUCGGUAGUUCCAACAAAUCAGGGAUUCAGUAUAAAGCAAGCAAUUUUUCCUGUUAGCAAACAUUAAUCAGUUUAGUUGCACUUGCAUAUAAGAAUAGGACAAGGACAGUGUUGUAUUUUGGAGUUUAUUAGUCCAUCUAUAGAAAAUGAAUAACACGAUUCAGAUUAAGGAGUGUUUAGUAGUUGUGUGCUCAUGCAAGUACAUGGUUUAGGUGUACGUGAAUCUUUAAGCUGUUCCUUUCUAGGAGAAUUUCUAAGACUGUUUGCCAUUUACCCAAAGGUUUUGAAGCUUUGGGAGCCUGCGACUGGCUCGACAGGUGGCAUCAGCAAGCGCCGGCCGGCCUCGGCACUGCUGUGGGUGGUUAUAUGGUGGGCGGAGCACACCAUUGGGAUUCGACAUCAGGUUGUUUGUUUCAGAAAUUCAUGUCCUGACUUCAAAUUUUGGUCGUAAGGUAAAUCCUGCCAACAAGUCGAUGCUAUGGGUUUACUAGUUCUCUUAAUAUUUCUAUGCAAAUUAUUGCCCCCUUCAUUUUAUUUGCAAGUAGCAAGGAACUCGAAGACAGAUGUGCAUUUUCUCACGCGCAUUCUACUCCCUAGAUUGUUUGGGGCUUUGGGCAAUACAGAAUGGAAGAAUUUGUUACUUUUGUAUAGGUUUGGAUAGAAUGGCAUAGUAUCAACAACUAAUUAAUCUUCUCUAAAAAAACAACUAAUUAAUCUUUUGUAGUUGAGAUCCUGCUCACAUCUUUAUUGACUUAUUAUCUUGUCCGCUAUCAUGCACCAUUAUUUGAUGAAUGAAAAUAUCACAGUAAAAUUUCGACAACACUGACUUUCCACAAAUCUACAGUUUCUGUAUAUCAAGGUUCUCUUCCCAUGACAGGAACAGAGUAGUCACAAGGAGCUGCAAUGAUACGUGUACAUGUAACAGUUGUCCAAGCUCUGGAACUUUUUCAGAAAUCAUUGCUCAAACUGUAUGGUCAUCCAGAUGAGGAUGUUGCAAAGGCUAACUGGAAAUACAUCUUCGCAGAAACUUUACAGUCAUUCAGAUGUUGAUUUUGCAACCCCUAAUUGGAACUACAAAUGUCUGCAGAUAGGCCAGAACAGUGUCCAUCUCAAAAUCGAUGGGAGAGUGUUGCACUACAGAAAGAUAGUCUUGUCACUACAGAUAGAUAGUCUUGUCUGUAGAUAUUGAAUAUUUAGAUGCUACUUUCUCAAAUAGCUUACUGAAUUUAUUGUCUGUAUGAUUGUGUAUGACGAACUCAGAUCGUGUUUGUUCAUUGUAAACCGACCUAGUUAUGUAAUGAAAUUCAAGUGCUUUUUGGGUAGUUCUCAUGCA